UGGGGAAUAUUGGACAAUGGGGGCAACCCUGAUCCAGCCAUGCCGCGUGAGUGAUGAAGGCCUUCGGGUUGUAAAGCUCUUUCAGACGAGACGAUGAUGACGGUAUCGUCAGAAGAAGCCCCGGCUAACUUCGUGCCAGCAGCCGCGGUAAUACGAAGGGGGCUAGCGUUGUUCGGAAUUACUGGGCGUAAAGCGCGCGUAGGCUGCGACAUGCGUCAGAGGUGAAAUCCCAGGGCUUAACCCUGGAAUUGCCUUUGAUACCGUGUUGCUGGAGUUCGAGAGAGGGUGGCGGAAUACCCAGUGUAGAGGUGGAAUUCGUAGAUAUUGGGUGGAACACCGGUGGCGAAGGCGGCCGCCUGGCUCGAGACUGACGCUGAGGUGCGAAAGCGUGGGGAGCAAACA
Molecule: ribosomal RNA, 402 nt
Filed under: uncultured Rhodospirillaceae bacterium
Lineage: Bacteria; Pseudomonadati; Pseudomonadota; Alphaproteobacteria; Rhodospirillales; Rhodospirillaceae
Description: bacterial SSU rRNA
Rfam family: Bacterial small subunit ribosomal RNA
Source: RNAcentral